GACGAACGCUGGCGGCGUGCUUAACACAUGCAAGUCGAACGGAAAGGCCAUGCUUUUGUGGGGUGCUCGAGUGGCGAACGGGUGAGUAACACGUGAGUAACCUGCCCUUGACUUUGGGAUAACUUCAGGAAACUGGGGCUAAUACCGGAUAGGAGCUCCUGAUGCAUGGUGGGGGUUGGAAAGUUUCGGCGGUUGGGGAUGGACUCGCGGCUUAUCAGCUUGUUGGUGGGGUAGUGGCUUACCAAGGCUUUGACGGGUAGCCGGCCUGAGAGGGUGACCGGCCACAUUGGGACUGAGAUACGGCCCAGACUCCUACGGGAGGCAGCAGUGGGGAAUAUUGCACAAUGGGCGGAAGCCUGAUGCAGCAACGCCGCGUGCGGGAUGACGGCCUUCGGGUUGUAAACCGCUUUCGCCUGUGACGAAGCGUGAGUGACGGUAAUGGGUAAAGAAGCACCGGCUAACUACGUG
RNAcentral lists this ribosomal RNA (468 nucleotides) under uncultured bacterium. Its description in RNAcentral is "partial 16S ribosomal RNA". It matches the Rfam family "Bacterial small subunit ribosomal RNA", at positions 28 to 507 of the family's 1533-position model. The record is from RNAcentral.